AUUUGAGCCAGCCAUGAGCUAUUCAUACCACCAGGGGACCACUUCUCAUCAAAUGAUUCUCUCAUCUCCAGAGGACCUGUAUGCCUUGUCAGCUUUGGACUGCAUGGACCCAACCUUCCAGUCCACUGAACCUCCUUCCUGUACCCUCAUGGCCCCAUUUUGGGACAGCUCUAUGACCUUGUUCAGCCAGAAGUAGUUACAGAAGGACUGACUGAGGACCCAGCAGGUUCAGCAAGGCAGAGCCUUUUCCUGUGCCACCCUAACGACCAGAUAAUGUUUGUCGAAUGAAUGAACAAAAGUCUGCAUCUAGCAUGGUACACCAAGUAAACGCAUACAGAGCGCGGUGUUCUGAACUGUUUGCAGUGUCUUUGAUGGAUCUGCCCUUCUUUAAGAUGUUUACUUGUGUUUGUGGAACAAGUUCAUCCACCAAGAUGAGAACCAUGGCUUCUGGGACAGGUCUGCCAAGUGAGGGUGGUCAGGUUGUCUCUAUUUAUUUCAAAUUCUCGAAAAGGUCCCUCGAUUAUUGUUUCAGCAUAUGUGUUUGUACAUUUAUGCUUACUGUUAACAGCUCUACUUUUUUUAACCGAUUUACCAAGC
Molecule: long non-coding RNA, 597 nt
Filed under: Equus caballus (horse)
Lineage: Eukaryota; Metazoa; Chordata; Mammalia; Perissodactyla; Equidae
Description: lncRNA (ENSECAG00000046383.1)
Source: RNAcentral